CGGGGAUCCGGAAGGCGUUGUCGGUGACAUCACGGAGAGGGCGAUUUCUAUGUAGAUGAGGCAGCGCAGGGGCUGCUGCUUCGCCACCUGCUGCUUCGCCACGAAAGAGUUCCCGUGCCGUGGGAGCAAGUCUGGGACCUCUGGUCGGAACGGAGAGUCGCAGCUGUGUGUUAGGGCUAGGAUGGCUCCGGGAUGCGCGUGAGGCAAGUGACCUUGCGUGUAAAGGGGCCCGCCUGGCAGGACGACUGAGCAAGUCCUUGGAAAACCAGAGAUAUUAGAGCGGUGAAUCGCGCUGGUCACGUUGGACACCUGCGCGUUAGGAGAUUCUGGAGCCAGAGGGAGAGACCCCAGAAACUCCCCGGUCGGCGACCCAGCCCGAGACGCCUGGGGUCCCAAGGGAAGCUGAACGCCCGGUGGGCUCCCGGGAUGGUUCUUCCGGUUCUUUGUGCCGCCUUCACCCAGUGAAGGAGCCUGUAUCCACCCUGCCCAGUCGCUGUUGGGCUGCUGCGGAGCUUCCGCUGCCAUCUUCGGAUCCUGUGUUCCGCCCGGGGCUCCACCAGGGCAGGGAUGGUGGUGAGGGUCGCUCGUGGGUCCCCUGGCAGGGAGCAGGGUCUGGCACUCACAAGGGCGCACGACUAGGACUUGUCGAAUGAAUCCUUUGUCGCCUUUAGCUUUUAGUCCUUUGAAGAGAGCAGAAUGGGGAAAUGGAGAGAGAACCUGAAAGAGCCCCAAACUCGAGGACCUAUUGCUCCCCAAGAAUAACAUCUUCCAGAACUAGACAGAAAACUAGGCGUCUGGGAACCCUGAAAUCCUUGGAGGAGUAGAUCAUCAUGACCCUCUGUGUUCCUUUUGGCAAAUGACUUGCUUCCAUUGUUUGUUUGUUCAAUUGUCUGUUUGUUAAAUAAAUAAAACCCUUUUCAUGUAUCUUUAAAAUUACAUUGGUUCUAUUAUUUUAUGAUUACAAACGAUGCUGCAGUCAUCAUUCUUGUACACUUCUCAUUGGCCACUGGUGUAUUUCUAUAGGGUGGAGGCCUGGAGAGCAGUUGUUCCAGCAUAGUGUUUACAUAGCUUUUAUUUAAUUCCGUUUUCUUUCCUUUGUUGCUUUAUUAGCUAUAACCCUUCUCUUAUUUCAGUGGCAGCUUUAGGGUUUCUGGGAUACAUCUUUAAUUUAUCACAUUCUGCUUUCAAGUGCAAUUAUACCUCCCUUUCUGGCCUUUAUCCUAGUGUUACGUAUUUUUACUUUAUGCAUUAUAAGUUUUGUGAUUAUCAUUACUUUCAUUUAUUAUGUCAAAUAUUUUUAAAAAGAUUUAAAUUAUAAGAAAAUGUGUAGUACAUGCUUUCUAAAUGCCAUUUCCAAUAUUUGUUUUUGUAUAGGUCCAGAUUUUUAUCUGGGAUCCUUUUGCUUCUGCCUGGAGGACUUUUAAUAAGAUUUCUUGUAACGUGGGUUGGUGAAUUGUUUUAGCUUUUGUAUGUUUUUCGAUGUCCUUAUUUC
RNAcentral lists this long non-coding RNA (1492 nucleotides) under Homo sapiens (human). RNAcentral's name for it is "HSALNT0295619". The record is from RNAcentral. Lineage: Eukaryota; Metazoa; Chordata; Mammalia; Primates; Hominidae.